Eriocheir sinensis (Chinese mitten crab) is the source of this 852-nucleotide long non-coding RNA. RefSeq lists it as uncharacterized. The record is from RefSeq and is a predicted model, not a curated record. The transcript is spliced from 5 exons. Lineage: Eukaryota; Metazoa; Arthropoda; Malacostraca; Decapoda; Varunidae.
CCUCUCCACAGGCUGUUAGAUUUUCUUGCCGAUGUGUUGUUGACGGUGUUGACAAAGGAGGGCUGCUGCUUCUCCUCUGUCAUAAGCGUCCGUGUUUCUGUUAAUAAAAAGAAGAGGUGAAACAAUGGAGGAUAACGGAAGGAUGAGGGGUGCUUGCCGCUGGUUAAUAAAAGUCCUCCCACCGCUAUCCUCGCCUUGGCUGAAGUGGCGGAGAGCUAUUGCCGCGUCGAACCCUUUUCUCACUACGUUCUGCUUGCAAGGAUGGAGUUUGUUCACUGGAGGCUGGCCAGCGAGGGAUUGCUUUAUUAAGACUCUUCCUGUUGGCUCUUUGUGCUCUCAGCGGGUUUGUGGCGCCGCCCUGCUUGAAGUGCCCGAGGCCGCUCCUGCUCCUGCUUCUGCUGCUGUGCUUUGCUUGCUGCUGCCGCUUCCUCUGCUUCUGCUAACCUUCCCUCGCUCGCUCCCUCACUUGAUGCGUUCUGUGGAAAGACGGCAAACCUCACCCACCUGGCUGUCCUGCGUGCUCUCCAGAAGGCGCAACGACGUCCGUGUCCUGCCCUGCCCUGCCCUGUCUUGAAAGAAGACUGCUCAAGAUAAAUUUAUUUUCAGAUGUAUGGUGUGGUGUGUUGUGGAGCCUGUCGGAUGUCCAGAGUUGCCUGCCCUGGUGGAACAAGACGCCCAAACUGUGGGGAAGAAAGGAAGAAAUUAAACAAGAUACAUACACAUCAUGGAGCAUUUUCAUUGGGUUCAAAUCCCAGCCCGAGCAGUUGCCUGAGGUGUUUAUCCUCACUACAUUACCAAUUAUCUCUAUGUACAUGUAAGAAUUCAAAUAAACAUUGCGGACAUAAGAAUCAG